AGAGUUUGAUCAUGGCUCAGAUUGAACGCUGGCGGCAGGCUUAACACAUGCAAGUCGAACGGUAACAGGGAAUAGCUUGCUAUUUUGCUGACGAGUGGCGGACGGGUGAGUAAUGCUUGGGAAUUUACCGAAAGGUGGGGGACAACAGUUGGAAACGACUGCUAAUACCGCAUAAUGUCUACGGACCAAAGGUGGCCUCUAUUUAUAUGCUAUCGCUUUUCGAUGAGCCCAAGUGGGAUUAGCUAGUUGGUAAGGUAAUGGCUUACCAAGGCGACGAUCCCUAGCUGGUCUUAGAGGAUGACCAGCCACACUGGAACUGAGACACGGUCCAGACUCCUACGGGAGGCAGCAGUGGGGAAUAUUGCACAAUGGGGGAAACCCUGAUGCAGCCAUGCCGCGUGUGUGAAGAAGGCUUUCGGGUUGUAAAGCACUUUCAGCGAGGAGGAAAGGGUAGUUAUUAAUACUGACUAUCUGUGACGUUACUCGCAGAAGAAGCACCGGCUAACUCCGUGCCAGCAGCCGCGGUAAUACGGAGGGUGCAAGCGUUAAUCGGAAUUACUGGGCGUAAAGCGCGCGUAGGUGGUUAAUUAAGUCAGAUGUGAAAGCCCAGGGCUCAACCUUGGAACUGCAUCUGAAACUGGUUAACUAGAGUUUUGUAGAGGGUGGUAGAAUUUCAGGUGUAGCGGUGAAAUGCGUAGAGAUCUGAAGGAAUACCAGUGGCGAAGGCGGCCACCUGGACAGUAACUGACACUGAGGCGCGAAGGCGUGGGGAGCAAACGGGAUUAGAUACCCCGGUAGUCCACGCAGUAAACGAUGUCUAUUAGAAGUUUGUGGCUAUAUGCCGUGGGUUUCAAAGCUAACGCAUUAAAUAGACCGCCUGGGGAGUACGGCCGCAAGGUUAAAACUCAAAUGAAUUGACGGGGGCCCGCACAAGCGGUGGAGCAUGUGGUUUAAUUCGAUGCAACGCGAAGAACCUUACCAUCCCUUGACAUCCAGAGAAUCACCUAGAGAUAGAUGAGUGCCUUCGGGAGCUCUGAGACAGGUGCUGCAUGGCUGUCGUCAGCUCGUGUUGUGAAAUGUUGGGUUAAGUCCCGCAACGAGCGCAACCCUUAUCCUUAGUUGCCAGCACGUAAUGGUGGGAACUCUAGGGAGACUGCCGGUGAUAAACCGGAGGAAGGUGGGGACGACGUCAAGUCAUCAUGGCCCUUACGGGAUGGGCUACACACGUGCUACAAUGGCAGAUACAAAGGGUUGCUAACCUGCGAGGGUAUGCGAAUCUCAUAAAGUCUGUCGUAGUCCGGAUCGGAGUCUGCAACUCGACUCCGUGAAGUUGGAAUCGCUAGUAAUCGUGGAUCAGAAUGCCACGGUGAAUACGUUCCCGGGCCUUGUACACACCGCCCGUCACACCAUGGAAGUGGGCUGCACCAGAAGUCAUUAGCUAAACCUUCGGGAUGGCGAUGACCACGGUGUGGUUCAUGACUGGGGUGAAGUCGUAACAAGGUA
RNAcentral lists this ribosomal RNA (1503 nucleotides) under metagenome. RNAcentral's name for it is "bacterial SSU rRNA". It matches the Rfam family "Bacterial small subunit ribosomal RNA". The record is from RNAcentral.